This 507-nucleotide antisense RNA is filed under the name Saccharopolyspora erythraea NRRL 2338. RNAcentral describes it as "Saccharopolyspora sRNA 350". It matches the Rfam family "Saccharopolyspora sRNA 350". Lineage: Bacteria; Bacillati; Actinomycetota; Actinomycetes; Pseudonocardiales; Pseudonocardiaceae. The record is from Rfam by way of RNAcentral.
UUGACGCUGUGGUCCCAGGAACCGGCCCGGCCGCCGAGGACGUCCGCCCCGAAGUGGUCGCCGUCGGCCAGCACGCCGAGCGUGGAGUCGUCGCCGUACUCGGUCGUGCCGAUCCUGGCCACCUUGCCGUGGGCGAGCAGGUGGAGCCGGUCGGCGGGCGAACCCGCGGUCACGAUCACGUCGCCCGUCUCGUACUCGCGCUGGACGAACCGGUCGGCGAGCACGCCCAGCGCCGAGUCGUCCUCGAAACCGCGCAGCAGCGGCAGCUCCCGGAGCUUCUGCGGGAUCACGCGGACCUCGGUGCCGGUGCUGGUGAACUCGACCCGCCCGUCGCCCAGCGCGAAGGUGAGCCGCCGGUUGACCCGGUAAGUACCCGCCGUGACCUGCACCCAGGGCAGCAUGCGCAGCAGCCAUCGCGGCGAGAUGCCCUGCAUCUGCGGCGCGGUCUUGGUCGUGGUGGCCAGUUUGCGCGCCGCGGCGGUGCCCAGGCUCAGCGAGGCGUCGCCG